RNAcentral lists this transfer RNA (73 nucleotides) under bacterium. Its description in RNAcentral is "tRNA-OTHER". It matches the Rfam family "tRNA". Rfam says of the family: Transfer RNA (tRNA) molecules are approximately 80 nucleotides in length. Their secondary structure includes four short double-helical elements and three loops (D, anti-codon, and T loops). Further hydrogen bonds mediate the characteristic L-shaped molecular structure. tRNAs have two regions of fundamental functional importance: the anti-codon, which is responsible for specific mRNA codon recognition, and the 3' end, to which the tRNAs corresponding amino acid is attached (by aminoacyl-tRNA synthetases). tRNAs cope with the degeneracy of the genetic code in two manners: having more than one tRNA (with a specific anti-codon) for a particular amino acid; and 'wobble' base-pairing, i.e. permitting non-standard base-pairing at the 3rd anti-codon position. RNAcentral also lists the same sequence under 1 other name. The record is from RNAcentral.
GGUCACGUAGCUUAAUUGGAAAAGCUUUCGGCUUUAGCCGAAGUGUUGAAGGUCCGAGUCCUUCCGUAGACCA